Molecule: non-coding RNA, 901 nt
Organism: Danio rerio (zebrafish)
Lineage: Eukaryota; Metazoa; Chordata; Actinopteri; Cypriniformes; Danionidae
Source: RefSeq, a predicted model, not a curated record
AUACUGAUCUGGGUUCAGUUGCUGGUGGUCUGGGUUCAGUUCUGCUGGUUCUGCUUCUGUGUUCUGGAACUUUCCUCAUCCUGAAGAAGAGGAAAAGGAAAUGUGAGACAGCUUUACCUCUGCAGAAUGUGCAGCAGAAUACUGAGACUGACUGCAUGUAUGAAGAGAUCCUAAACAGUGAUGUCAUCAUCGCUGCUGAGCCUUCAUCCAAUCAGACGCCAGCAUCAGAUCCCAACACCCGUCCAGAAAAUGCUGUUUACGCUACAGUAACUAAGCAACGUUCUGAUUCAGUCCCCGGUCACACCCACUCAGCCAAUCGGAUGUCAGAUACAGUCAGUGAUUAUUAUGGCAAUAUUACAUCAUCUCAACAAACUCUGAACAACAGAACAGAAACGAUCUAUGCAACAGCAGAUCUUCCACCUAAAAUUUCAAAUAAUGAGGGUCUGAUAUAUUCAGUAAUUAGCCAUAAAUAAAAAGAGUCUCCUACUCUUCCUGAGUGGGUGUAGUUAGGCUAAGUAAAGUCUAGAAGGGAUACAGCUGUGGUUGUCAUGAUCCUGGUGUUUACCUGUCAUGUGCUCCUUGUGCUUUCUGUUAUUGCCAUGCGAUUACUUUGUUCAGUUUUCCCGCCAUUCGUUAGUUUCAUUAUUUCCACCUGUGUCGCACCCCUAUAUGUAUUCAGUUUAAUCAUGUCUGGUAUAUUUUUACCAAUGAGUUUCAUUAGUUCUUUGUCUGGUAAUAAGCGGCGGUCACAUUGGAUUUUUUCCCCCAUAGAUUUCCAUUCAUGCGCACGUGAAUGCGUCAGACCCGAAACACAAGCUCAUGCGGCAAGUUUUGCGAAAUUGCAUCACUUAACUGAGUAAGACUAAUUGAGGAUCAAAACAUGACCUCUCUGGACAGAAAA